AAAGUGACAGGUGGUGCAUGGUUGUCGUCAGCUCGUGUCGUGAGAUGUUGGGUUAAGUCCCGCAACGAGCGCAACCCUUGAACUUAGUUGCCAUCAUUCAGUUGGGCACUCUAAGUUGACUGCCGGUGACAAACCGGAGGAAGGUGGGGAUGACGUCAAAUCAUCAUGCCCCUUAUGAUUUGGGCUACACACGUGCUACAAUGGACAAUACAAAGGGCAGCGAAACCGCGAGGUCAAGCAAAUCCCAUAAAGUUGUUCUCAGUUCGGAUUGUAGUCUGCAACUCGACUACAUGAAGCUGGAAUCGCUAGUAAUCGUAGAUCAGCAUGCUACGGUGAAUACGUUCCCGGGUCUUGUACACACCGCCCGUCACACCACGAGAGUUUGUAACACCCG
This 394-nucleotide ribosomal RNA is filed under the name Staphylococcus pseudintermedius. Its description in RNAcentral is "bacterial SSU rRNA". It matches the Rfam family "Bacterial small subunit ribosomal RNA", at positions 1028 to 1423 of the family's 1533-position model. The record is from RNAcentral. Lineage: Bacteria; Bacillati; Bacillota; Bacilli; Caryophanales; Staphylococcaceae.